AUGAAGACAGACCCAAAGCAUUGGGCUAGGGCUUUCUUUCCAAUAGGAGCAAAUUGUGAGUCAGUUGACAACAACCUUUGUGAAUCAUUUAACAAUGCCAUCAUAGAAGCUAGGUUCUACCCCAUUAUUUCACAGCAAGAAAAGAUUAGGAAAAAAAUGAUGGUUAGAGUUCAAGAGCAGAAAACCAAGAGUGAGAAGUGGAAUGGCAUAAUUUGCCCAAACAUCUUCAAGAAGAUUAAG
RNAcentral lists this ribosomal RNA (240 nucleotides) under Triticum aestivum (bread wheat). RNAcentral describes it as "partial small subunit ribosomal RNA". Lineage: Eukaryota; Viridiplantae; Streptophyta; Magnoliopsida; Poales; Poaceae. The record is from RNAcentral.